This 6290-nucleotide long non-coding RNA is filed under the name Sus scrofa (pig). Its description in RNAcentral is "lncRNA (ENSSSCG00030011783.1)". Lineage: Eukaryota; Metazoa; Chordata; Mammalia; Artiodactyla; Suidae. The record is from RNAcentral.
ACAGCCACUCAAGGAACAGAUUUUCUAGAGGAUACUUUAUUCAAUUAGUUAGUCAAUUCCCUUGUAGAUGGGAAAUUAUCCCUAAACCAUCCCCACCAACCGAGGAGCCUCUACAGUGAGAAGCAAAGAUGAUGUUGAGAUGUAACAAUAGGAUACCUCAUUUGCAAUGCAAAUGAGCAACCAGCAGGCAAAUAAACCCUUAUGGGAAAACCACUCUAAUCAUAAAAACCCCUUGCUUUGGGGAGACUGCAGUGUAAGGACAAACAGAAUCAUAUCUUCCAGGCUCUUCUCCAAUACAGGAUAUUAAAGAAUUAUCCAGGUAGUUCUCUAUGAAAUUGCAUUUGAAUAUGGCAAAAUGCAUUGCUGGACAAUAGAUAAUAUCUUUAAAACUCCACAAUUGUGGACUGAAUUAUUUAUGGUUGUCACUAUAGCUAUGAUAGUUUGGAAAUAAAAUCGUCAGGCUUUUCUCUGUUUUUAUUUGUAGGAAAACAAGUCAUUCAAGCUUUUUAGUGAUACAAUGUGACUGGCUGUCGAUGGCAGUUACAAUUUUUCAAGCCCUGCCAAACACAGGAGUACCCAGAAGGGACAUAUGUUUUCUGUGCUUUGUGUUCCAAAUUCGCUUUAAAAACAUGCGAUUAUGUGAAGGCCUGAUUUAUAUUUCCAAGGAAAAGCACAAUAAUGGCUGUUUUGUAGCUGUGUUUCUCGAAAACGUGUUUCUAUUGCUGCCUUUUCAAAAGAAUUUGGCUAAUGAUCACUGGAUUUUCACUUUCCGUCAUGACGUAUUAAAAUUUGAUGAGGUCUGUGAAAUUUAAGAACUGAUUUCUUAAGUGCAGUGGAAAUGUAGUUAACAUCGUUUGGUACUGCAACCCUGGAAACAUCUUCUGUGGCUAUCUUUAAUCCACUUCCUUAUUUUUGUGGACAAUGGGAGAAGAAGAAGCAGGGGUAUUUGUAGCCAGGAGGCAAAGAGGGGAUAGAAUGACCAGGAUAACAAAGAGCAAACCUUGGAAGGUACGUAGGCCUAUAGGUAUGCAUGAGUGUAAGUAGAAGACAAGGUGUUGCGGACAUUUCCAGGGGACAGAGGGAUGACUCUGGAGAGGAAAGGAAAUUGUGAAGGAGGAAAGUGAGGAGUUUUGGUCACAUUUUAUGCUCAACUGAAAAUUGCUGUAAAGCCCUUUAUAAAUUGUAUAAUCACUGGCUUUGAAUUCAUGCCCUUCGUUGCUAUUAUUAAUGAUGGCUUUCACUCCACUCUCUCAGAAGCAUUUCUAGUAAAUUUAUGAAAAGAAGAUGAAUUAGUCUCUUUCUGGACUGGGGAGCCCCUCCUGGGAGGUCAACAAUUUUUUUACUUGUUCUUUUUUAGUAAUGGAGGUGGAGAAAGGUGAAAGGCCAAUUUCACCUAAUAAAGGAGUUCAUGAACAAAUAAUGAUCAUAGUAUGGAAUUUCAGGGUAUUUCAAAGCUAAGAGAAAAAUAUUAGGGGGCAGCGAAAAGAUAGAAGUUGGAGUUCCUACCAUGGCACAGUAGGUUAAGAAUCCAAGUUCAAGAGUUCCUGUUGUGGCGCAGUAGAAACCAACCCAACUAGUAAAACCAUGAGGAUGCAGGUUCAAUCCCUGGCCUUGCUCAGUGGGUUAAGGAUCUGGUGUUGCCAUGAGCUGGGGUUGUAGGUCGAAGACUCAGCUCGAUUUCUGCAUUAAUGUGGCUGUGGUGUAGGGCAGCAGCUGUGGCUCCAAUUGGACCCCUAGCCUGGGAACCUCCAUGAGCCUUGGGUGCUGCCCUAUAAAGGGAAAGAAAAAAAAAAAAGAAUCUGACUUCAGCGGCUCAGGUUUGGGUUCAAGGAGGUUUGGGGUUAAUUCCUGGCCUGGCACAGUAGGUUUAAGGAUCUGAUGUUGCCACAGCUGUGGCAUAGGUCACAGCUGUGGCCCAGAUUUAAUCUUGGCCUAGGAACUUCCAUAUGCUGUGGGUGCGGCCAAAAAAAAAAAAAAAAGGAGUUUUCAGUAAAGGUAACAAGGUAACAUUUGUAAUGUGUUUUGAUUGCUUUGUACAAAUCUAGAGUCAUCACUUAGUUUAGGAAUAUAAAUGUCUUUAUGUAACAUAUACACUCAAAGUAUUUAUGUGGUAUGUUUAGAAUUAUAAAGGCUAGGAAAAGUACAAUAUGAAAAAUUGUAAUAAUACCAUGUCUUUCCCAUAAUAUUCUAAUCUUAAGGAGAAUAAUUUUCAAAUCCUUAAAAAAUUAUUUCACCCUCUGGAAUUCACAUCUCGGGUUUAGGAUAAGAAGUCAUAAUAUCUAAGAGGUCUUUUAAGGCUCAGAUCCAAGUGCAUUUUUCUUACAAGAUUGUGUGUGGGCUUGGUUUGAGCCUAAUAUGCUUUCAUCUGCUUUUGUGGAUACUGGAGAAGGCAGUCUAAGCAAAUGUUGAAUUCAUUCUCUGGUAAUGUCUUUUAUUAGGAAGGAGAAAUAGGCCCUCAGUUUGAUGGAAUCAUCUUCCACAUAGUCAAAUACUGUUGUGGUUUCUCUCCCAGUCAGCUUUUUUAACAUUACCUCCUGGGUUCAGGUCUUGCCAGAAGAGCCAUCCAGGGAAAUUUUAAGUGGAAACCUCAGGUGGGGUGUUUUCACAUUCUUUUUGUAUGUGUGUGCUUUUUAGGGCCACACCUACGUCAUAUGGAAGUUCCCAGUCUAAGGGUCAAAUUGGAGCUGUAGCCACUGGCCUAUACCACAACCACAGCAACACCAGAUCCGAGCCACGUCUGCCACUUACACCACAGCUCAUGGCAAAGCCAGAUCCUUAACCCAUUGAGUGAGGCCAGGAAUUGAAUCUUGCAUCCUCAUGGAUCCUAGUCAGAUUCAUUACCACUGCGCCAUGACAGGAACUCCUGUUUUCAUAUUCUAAAGCUAGGUUUUCAAUUUUGUCCCUCAAUGAAAGCAAGUUAAAGAGUAAUUAUUGAGUCAUUUAAGACAAUUUGUAAGGUGCUUCAACUUUACAAAAUGGCGGCUCUCCCGUUUUGUACACAUCUAGAGUCAUCAUUUAGCUUUGGUGUCCAUCUGAGUUUAUGGCAAAGGCCUGGAGGCAGUCAUAGAGAUUCAGAUGAUCCUAUGGAGGAAAUACCGAUUUCCUCCUUUGCUGUCUUCCUCAGGCGUCAUGGGACGGUGCAAGGACAUCACAGCUUAACCUGGCUCUACCCACCAGUGAAGUUCAUUCAUUCACACUAAGCUGGAAGUAUAAGGAUUGUCCUUUACAAAGGCCAAAUUAUUGAGACAGUAGCUAAGAGACUGGAGGUGAGGCUGAGGCAUCCCCUGUGGUCUGUUCAAUGAACUCAGGAGAGGUGAUAAAAGAACCAAAUUCCUAACACCGUGGGUACCAAGAGCCUCUGGCCAUCACAUCAGAAAAUUUAGCCCAGAAAGAGUCCUCAGAUCAUUUCCCCCAGGGUCUCCUUGUGAUUCAGCUUGGGGUGAAAUGGAACGAGGAGCAGAGGAUGGGGCACGUGGCCGUUCUGAUGCACUGGACUCCUGUCAGGAAAGAGCAUCUUUGGAAUGCGAUCUGGCAAAACAUUUUUCGGUCUCCCGUUUCUGCUGUCAGUCCCAUUCCUGAUCUUUUCUCUCCCAAGUCAACGCCUAUUUUCUCCUUUCCUUCCAUGACCUGCUACUUCUUCCUUCCUUCCCGCCCAGUUGAGUCAAGCCUACCCCAGAAUUUGGGGCUAAGGAUUCAGUUGAAUUGGAGGAAAGACUGGAAAUGAGGGUUGGAAUAUCCCAGGUGUUACUCGGAAGCUCACCUCUCCCACUGGCCUCUCAUAGAGAGGAAUUAUGGGUUUCCAGAAAUUGCAUUUUGUGGGCAUACUCUUAGCAUUAUAUGUUUUUAACUUAUUUUCUUUUUGCUUUGAUGAGUUCGAACAUCAAGUGACCCUUGAAGCGCUACAACACUUAAAUGCACUCUUUCAGGUAGGAACUGAGCAGGUGAGCUUCUAAACAUUCACUGGGUAAUUUGAUUUUCUCUUCGGUGGUUGGUUUUUCGGUGAAAAGUACAGUCCUUUUAGUUCCUAUAAAAUAGCAAUGAAGAGUAAAUUCUCUGUAAAUGUCACUUCUUAAUGGAAUUAGAAACAAAUUGUGAAUGCAUCAGAACAAAAGGGAUAACGUGUUAGAAGUUGACAGAGUUCAGGUAAGUCCAAUCAGACAUUCAGUUCUUUGGACUCUUGCUUUCAGACUAAACAAAAUACAGCUAUGUUCAUAGCUAAUUAUUCUCUUUCCAUCUUAGGAGUAUGAGAAAAGAGGAAGACAGCUGUUGGAUAUGGAGACUUUCAAAUGCAUAAUGAAGCAGAGCAUGAGGUUACAGAAUAAAAGUACUGAACAAAUAGAACAACUUUUCAUGAAAAUAGACUAUGAAGCAGUGGGCAGAAUUCAUUGGGAUGGCUUCUGCACAUAUCUGCAGUUAGCAUAUUCAGAGCAAGCUGAUGCUUUGGCUCGACAGAAAGAGGUUUCCUUCCAGCUGCCUGCUGUGCUGCAGGGACUGUCGUACGGGGGACCCGUGCUGCGCAUUCUCUCUGUGCCUGAUGACACCUUAAUCAUGAUCAGAGAAGAUGGAGCCAUUUAUUUCUGGUCCCUGCAGCUGAAGUUGAAAAGAAGAAAGCGAGUUUUUGACAAGCCCAUCAUUCGGAAGCGCCGGUGGGUGACGGAUGCCACCAGCAUGCCACAGUACAACAAACUGAUCCUAGGAACUGGAAACCGUGAAAUCCAGCUGUAUGAGUUCUCUAACUUGGAGCCUUACUGUCAGAUUGGUGGCCUGGAAGCUGUCCCUCUGAAACUGGACUACUGGUACGAGGAUCCUGACAAGUGCCUGAUUCUCUAUGGUGAUGACCAGGGAUGUGUGAACAUUCUGUUUUUGGCUUCUGUCGGUGAACUAUUAAGGGAAGCGUGGGAUGCAGUUCCCUGACAAUGACUAGAGACUGACUUCUCAUCACCUGCAGCCUUUUGAUGACAGGACCCAAGGACACAAAUGUUCCCCUAAGUGUCCCUUCUUCACCAAAACCAUUCCUCCACAAAGUAAACAUGAAGCUAUAUGGAAAAAGAAACAAAAGCAACAUUUUCUCUGAGAUAGCUGGAUAUGAACAUUACUCCAAGCCUGAAACGAGCAUAUUGUAAUCAGUUUUAAAUGAGUGAGAAGGUCCCUGGUAGGCAUCUUAUCAAACUUGUGACCACCCCAGGGGAAGCAGAAGCCUCUCUGCCACGACCCUGGGAAGGAGACAUUCCAGACUGCCUUGACUCUUCCAGGAAAAGGGAGCCACUGCCUCACAAGGCCCUGCCUCAGGGAGCCCCUGAAGAUGUGGAUUCUAUCCAAAUAUUAGAAAGCAGUUCCUUAGGUGACUCCAAAUAGGCGUGCCACACUUCCAGGAAACAGAGUAAGCUGAAUCCACGCAUCCACUCCUACUCCCUCCUAAAUAGAACUCUCCUAAACAACAGGAAAGGGCUGGUUCUUCCCCUGAAGACACAGGCCCCUGAGGAUGAGGUGAGUGAGAAGAAACAGCAGCAAUAAAAUUUGGAAGUUAGAAAGCAGAUAAACAGAUUGUAAGUGACCUAGGAAACCCCCACCCCAAAAAAAGUAAGUCCUUACAUCAGCUGUGGAAAAAAACUGAGAGUCAGUUCAUUUCAUAAAGCAGAACCCCACCUCCUAGCCCCUGCCCAGGCCCAAGAACUGGCGGCACUGCCUCCUAGGUGACUGACGGCCAUACUUUCCCCUUCUAGCCAGGAAACAACAGUAAAAUGCCAGUGAUAAUCUCUGGGGAGUUGAGAUGAAAUCCAUUAAAUAAGAAGAUGAAAAAUCCAGAGAACUAAAAGAAUUCUUAGAAAUUAAAAUCGUGAUUUAAAAGAUGAACUAUUCCAUUAAAACUUAAUGGAAUAGUUGGAAGAUAAUAUUCUCCCAGAAAGUAGAACAAAAAGACCCACCAAAAUAAAUAAAUAAAUAAAUGAGAAAAGAUAAAACAAUAGGAAGUAAAAUUGCCAAAUAUUAAGGGUACGAGAAAGAGAAGAGGGAAGAAAAUAAUCCAAUAGGAGUUCCGUCAUGGCUCAGUGGAAAUGAAUCUGGCUUGUAUCCAUAAGGACACAGGUUUGAUCCCUAGCCUCGCUCAGUGGGUGAAGGAUCCAGCAUUACCGUGAGCUGUGGUGAGGUCGAAGAUGCAGCUCGGAUCUGGUGUGGUUGUAUCUGUGACUGUGACAUAGGCCAUUGGCUACAGCUUUGAUUCACCACCUAGCCUGUGAACCUCCGUAUGCUCCGGUGAGGCGAGGCCCUAAAAAAAGACAAAAGAAAAAAAA